GAUGAAGAACGUAGCGAAAUGCGAUACUUGGUGUGAAUUGCAGAAUCCCGUGAACCAUCGAGUCUUUGAACGCAAGUUGCGCCCGAAGCCUCGGCUAAGGGCACGUCUGCCUGGGCGUCACGCAUCGCGUCUCCCCCAAACCGCCAAGGCGGAGGGGAAGGAAGAUGGCUUCCCGUGCCUCACCCGGGCGCGGUUGGCCUAAAUUUGGAGCCCGCGGCACUUAGCUCUCGCGGCGAUAGGUGGUGAACAAGGCCUUGGCCGUGCAGACAACCCGCUGCGAAGCUCUAUGUCACGUGCGCUCGUCGGACCCUUUGAAGUUGCCUUCGGUGACUUAAAACCUUUGCGACCCCAGGUCAGGCGGGGCUACCCGCUGAAUUUAAGCAUAUCAAUAAGCGGAGGA
Molecule: unclassified non-coding RNA, 400 nt
Filed under: soil metagenome
Description: partial contains 5.8S ribosomal RNA, internal transcribed spacer 2, and large subunit ribosomal RNA
Rfam family: 5.8S ribosomal RNA (bases 1-120)
Source: RNAcentral